Molecule: long non-coding RNA, 367 nt
Organism: Vidua chalybeata
Lineage: Eukaryota; Metazoa; Chordata; Aves; Passeriformes; Viduidae
Exons: 3
Source: RefSeq, a predicted model, not a curated record
GGCAGGACAAGCCUUUUCUAGUGGGAAUCCAUUGCAUUUACAUCAAGUUUCAAUCUCUUUGUAAUUAGCAUAAGGAACGACAUGGCCUAGUCUGGGUUACUAACCUGGCUCACCCUAGAUGGUAUCCUGGAUGCUUUACAGCCUUCUCAAAUGGCACUGGGCACCUGUGCCUUGGACAGGAAUCCUGGCCUUUGCUUUGUGAAGCAGCACAUUCCUGAAGGGCCACGGCAGUGUGGUCAUGGUCACAGCCAAGCAUGGCAGCAGCGAGCAAGCUGAACAAAUCUUUGAACAGGACGAUUGAAGUGUUUUGGUUUGGUUUGGUUGGAAGACUGUACUAGGUUGCCAGAGGGAAUUCAGAGGAAACCAG